ACGAACGCUGGCGGCAUGCCUAACACAUGCCAGUCGAACGAGACCUUCGGGUCUAGUGGCGCACGGGUGCGUAACGCGUGGGAACCUGCCCUUAGGUUCGGAAUAACUCCCCGAAAGGGGUGCUAAUACCGGAUAAUGUCUUCGGACCAAAGAUUUAUCGCCUUUGGAUGGGCCCGCGUUGGAUUAGCUAGUUGGUAGGGUAAAAGCCUACCAAGGCGACGAUCCAUAGCUGGUCUGAGAGGAUGAUCAGCCACACUGGGACUGAGACACGGCCCAGACUCCUACGGGAGGCAGCAGUGGGGAAUAUUGGACAAUGGGCGAAAGCCUGAUCCAGCAAUGCCGCGUGAGUGAUGAAGGCCUUAGGGUUGUAAAGCCCUUUUACCCGGGAUGAUAAUGACAGUACCGGGAGAAUAAGCUCCGGCUAACUCCGUG
RNAcentral lists this ribosomal RNA (432 nucleotides) under uncultured bacterium. RNAcentral describes it as "partial 16S ribosomal RNA". It matches the Rfam family "Bacterial small subunit ribosomal RNA", at positions 29 to 507 of the family's 1533-position model. The record is from RNAcentral.